GGUGCAAGUGACGAUGAAAAGACAGGGACAUCAGAGAUUCUCCGAAAUGAUGACUAAUGUCUAAAUGGGAAUCUCUCUGAUGCACU
Molecule: small nucleolar RNA, 86 nt
Filed under: Brassica carinata (Ethiopian mustard)
Lineage: Eukaryota; Viridiplantae; Streptophyta; Magnoliopsida; Brassicales; Brassicaceae
Also listed under: 1 other name
Description: Small nucleolar RNA R44/J54/Z268 family
Rfam family: Small nucleolar RNA R44/J54/Z268 family
About the family: R44, J54 and Z268 are members of the C/D class of snoRNA which contain the C (UGAUGA) and D (CUGA) box motifs. Most of the members of the box C/D family function in directing site-specific 2'-O-methylation of substrate RNAs.
Source: Rfam by way of RNAcentral